This 85-nucleotide transfer RNA is filed under the name Felis catus (domestic cat). It matches the Rfam family "tRNA". From Rfam's summary of the family: Transfer RNA (tRNA) molecules are approximately 80 nucleotides in length. Their secondary structure includes four short double-helical elements and three loops (D, anti-codon, and T loops). The record is from Rfam by way of RNAcentral. RNAcentral also lists the same sequence under 3 other names. Lineage: Eukaryota; Metazoa; Chordata; Mammalia; Carnivora; Felidae.
GCCUGGGUGGCUCCAUCGGUUAGGCGUCUGACUUCAGCUCAGAUCAUGAUCUCACUGUUCGUGGGUUUAAAUCCCACUUUGGGCU